GAUGAACGCUGGCGGCGUGCCUAAUACAUGCAAGUCGAACGAGGUGCUUUUGUAGCAAUACGAGAGUAUCCUAGUGGCGAACGGGUGAGUAACGCGUGGAUGACCUGCCCCAAAGUGUGGGAUAACAGUCCGAAAGGAUUGCUAAUACCUCAUGUGGUUAUCGGUUUUAGAAAGCGAUAACUAAAGCAGCAAUGCGCUUUGGGAGGGAUCUGCGUCCCAUCAGCUAGUUGGUGAGGUAACGGCUCACCAAGGCGACGACGGGUAGAGGACCUGAGAGGGUGGCCCCCCACAAUGGAACUGAAACACGGUCCAUACACCUACGGGUGGCAGCAGUAGGGAAUAUUGCUCAAUGGGCGAAAGCCUGAAGCAGCAACGCCGCGUGUGCGAUGAAGGCCUUGGUCGUAAAGCACUUUCUGAGAGAUGAGAAAGGACAGUAUCUCAGGAAUAAGUACUCGGCUAACUACGUGCCAGCAGCCGCGGUAAA
Molecule: ribosomal RNA, 484 nt
Filed under: uncultured bacterium
Lineage: Bacteria
Description: bacterial SSU rRNA
Rfam family: Bacterial small subunit ribosomal RNA
Source: RNAcentral